This 969-nucleotide ribosomal RNA is filed under the name metagenome. RNAcentral describes it as "bacterial SSU rRNA". It matches the Rfam family "Bacterial small subunit ribosomal RNA", at positions 759 to 1520 of the family's 1533-position model. The record is from RNAcentral.
GUAUGGGUAUCGAAUGGGAUUAGAGACCCCAGUAGUCCAUACCGUAAACGAUGAGUGUUAAACGUUUGGAGAUCCAUCUCUUUAUUUGCACUUAGUGUAAAUAUAUCAUAUUAAUAUAGAUGUUUUAAGUUUUUGAACGUUCAAUGAUAGAUUAGUUGUUUUGGUUAACUUUAAUCUGUUAGUUCCUUAUACUUUUAACAUAAUAUAUACAAAUCAACAAUAUUAGAUUGUUAAAAUCAACUAUUUAAAUUUUAUUGCCGUUGGCAAUUCUGGAUAUCUGAGUGUUACAGCUAACGCAUUAAACACUCCGCCUGAGGAGUACAGUCGCAAGACCGAAACUCAAAGGAAUUGACGGGGGCUCACACAAGCGGUGGGGUAUGUGGUUUAAUUCGAUAAUACGCGCAAAACCUUACCAGUUCUUGACAUCUAUCGUUUGUUCAGACUGAGAAGUCUGAAUGUUAUAGAUAGACAGGUGUUGCAUGGCUGUCGUCAGCUCGUGUCGUGAGAUGUUUGGUUAAGUCCUUUAACGAGCGUAACCCCUAAAACUUACUAUGAUUGAGUUUCUAAUUGCUUGAAACAACAACCUAGUAAGUUUUUAACUGCCGAUGAUAAAUCGGAGGAAGGUGGGGAUGACGUCAAGUCUUCAUGGCCCUUAUGAACUGGGCUACACACAUGCUACAAUGGUGGUGACAAUGAGAAGCAAAAGUGAAAGCUGGAGCAAACUAUAAACACCACCUUAGUUCGGAUUGUAGGCUGCAACUCGCCUACAUGAAGUUGGAAUCGCUAGUAAUCGUAGAUCAGCACGCUACGGUGAAUUAGUACUUGGGCCUUGUACAUACCGCCCGUCACACCCUGGAAAUUGUUUCUAAUUGAAGCUUGUUACCUAACCGNAAGGAGGGNAUCUGUGAGAUUGGAGAGAGUGACUGGGGUGAAGUCGUAACAAGGUAGCUGUAGGGGAACCUGCUGCUG